AUUGAACGCUGGCGGCAUGCCUUACACAUGCAAGUCGAACGGCAGCACGGGUGCUUGCACCUGGUGGCGAGUGGCGAACGGGUGAGUAAUACAUCGGAACAUGUCCUGUAGUGGGGGAUAGCCCGGCGAAAGCCGGAUUAAUACCGCAUACGAUCUACGGAUGAAAGCGGGGGACCUUCGGGCCUCGCGCUAUAGGGUUGGCCGAUGGCUGAUUAGCUAGUUGGUGGGGUAAAGGCCUACCUAGGCGACGAUCAGUAGCUGGUCUGAGAGGACGACCAGCCACACUGGGACUGAGACACGGCCCAGACUCCUACGGGAGGCAGCAGUGGGGAAUUUUGGACAAUGGGCGAAAGCCUGAUCCAGCAAUGCCGCGUGUGUGAAGAAGGCCUUCGGGUUGUAAAGCACUUUUGUCCGGAAAGAAAUCCUUGGCCCUAAUACGGUCGGGGGAUGACGGUACCGGAAGAAUAAGCACCGGCUAACUACGUG
RNAcentral lists this ribosomal RNA (486 nucleotides) under uncultured bacterium. RNAcentral describes it as "partial 16S ribosomal RNA". It matches the Rfam family "Bacterial small subunit ribosomal RNA", at positions 30 to 507 of the family's 1533-position model. The record is from RNAcentral.